GUCUACAGCCAUGCCACUCUGAACAUGCCCGAUCUUGUCUGAUUUCAGAAGCUAAGCAGGGUUGGGCCUGGUUAGUACUUGGAUAGGAGACCACCUAGGAAGACCAUGUGCUAUAGGCA
This 119-nucleotide ribosomal RNA is filed under the name Pteropus alecto (black flying fox). The record is from RNAcentral. Lineage: Eukaryota; Metazoa; Chordata; Mammalia; Chiroptera; Pteropodidae.